CCUACGGGAGGCAGCAGUGGGGAAUAUUGCACAAUGGGCGCAAGCCUGAUGCAGCGACGCCGCGUGGGGGAUGACGGCCUUCGGGUUGUAAACUCCUUUCGCUAGGGACGAAGCGCAAGUGACGGUACCUGGAGAAGAAGCACCGGCUAACUACGUGCCAGCAGCCGCGGUAAU
RNAcentral lists this ribosomal RNA (174 nucleotides) under uncultured bacterium. RNAcentral's name for it is "partial 16S ribosomal RNA". It matches the Rfam family "Bacterial small subunit ribosomal RNA", at positions 338 to 524 of the family's 1533-position model. The record is from RNAcentral.